This 506-nucleotide ribosomal RNA is filed under the name uncultured bacterium. RNAcentral describes it as "bacterial SSU rRNA". It matches the Rfam family "Bacterial small subunit ribosomal RNA", at positions 35 to 507 of the family's 1533-position model. The record is from RNAcentral.
GCUGGCGGCGUGCCUAAUACAUGCAAGUCGAGCGCAGGAAACAAGUAGAUCCCUUCGGGGUGACGCUUGUGGAAUGAGCGGCGGACGGGUGAGUAACACGUGGGCAACCUACCUUGUAGACUGGGAUAACUCCGGGAAACCGGAGCUAAUACGGGAUGAUCAUUUGAAUCGCAUGAUUGAAAUGUAAAAGUGGGGAGUAAUCCUCACACUAUGAGAUGGGCCCGCGGCGCAUUAGCUAGUUGGUAAGGUAAUGGCUUACCAAGGCAACGAUGCGUAGCCGACCUGAGAGGGUGAUCGGCCACACUGGAACUGAGACACGGUCCAGACUCCUACGGGAGGCAGCAGUAGGGAAUCAUCCGCAAUGGGCGAAAGCCUGACGGUGCAACGCCGCGUGAACGAUGAAGGUUUUCGGAUCGUAAAGUUCUGUUGUAAGGGAAGAACAAGUAUCGUUCGAAUAGGGCGGUACCUUGACGGUACCUAACCAGAAAGCCACGGCUAACUACGUG